This 524-nucleotide ribosomal RNA is filed under the name uncultured Ralstonia sp. RNAcentral's name for it is "bacterial SSU rRNA". It matches the Rfam family "Bacterial small subunit ribosomal RNA", at positions 8 to 521 of the family's 1533-position model. The record is from RNAcentral. Lineage: Bacteria; Pseudomonadati; Pseudomonadota; Betaproteobacteria; Burkholderiales; Burkholderiaceae.
AGAGUUUGAUCCUGGCUCAGAUUGAACGCUGGCGGCAUGCCUUACACAUGCAAGUCGAACGGCAGCAUGAUCUAGCUUGCUAGAUUGAUGGCGAGUGGCGAACGGGUGAGUAAUACAUCGGAACGUGCCCUGUAGUGGGGGAUAACUAGUCGAAAGAUUAGCUAAUACCGCAUACGACCUGAGGGUGAAAGUGGGGGACCGCAAGGCCUCAUGCUAUAGGAGCGGCCGAUGUCUGAUUAGCUAGUUGGUGGGGUAAAGGCCCACCAAGGCGACGAUCAGUAGCUGGUCUGAGAGGACGAUCAGCCACACUGGGACUGAGACACGGCCCAGACUCCUACGGGAGGCAGCAGUGGGGAAUCUUGGACAAUGGGCGAAAGCCUGAUCCAGCAAUGCCGCGUGUGUGAAGAAGGCCUUCGGGUUGUAAAGCACUUUUGUCCGGAAAGAAAUGGCUCUGGUUAAUACCUGGGGUCGAUGACGGUACCGGAAGAAUAAGGACCGGCUAACUACGUGCCAGCAGCCGCGGU